This 356-nucleotide ribosomal RNA is filed under the name uncultured bacterium. Its description in RNAcentral is "bacterial SSU rRNA". It matches the Rfam family "Bacterial small subunit ribosomal RNA", at positions 112 to 461 of the family's 1533-position model. The record is from RNAcentral.
AACACGUGGGUAACCUGCCCAUAAGACUGGGAUAACUCCGGGAAACCGGGGCUAAUACCGGAUAACAUUUUGAACCGCAUGGUUCGAAAUUGAAAGGCGGCUUCGGCUGUCACUUAUGGAUGGACCCGCGUCGCAUUAGCUAGUUGGUGAGGUAACGGCUCACCAAGGCAACGAUGCGUAGCCGACCUGAGAGGGUGAUCGGCCACACUGGGACUGAGACACGGCCCAGACUCCUACGGGAGGCAGCAGUAGGGAAUCUUCCGCAAUGGACGAAAGUCUGACGGAGCAACGCCGCGUGAGUGAUGAAGGCUUUCGGGUCGUAAAACUCUGUUGUUAGGGAAGAACAAGUGCUAGUU